Molecule: ribosomal RNA, 497 nt
Filed under: uncultured bacterium
Lineage: Bacteria
Description: partial 16S ribosomal RNA
Rfam family: Bacterial small subunit ribosomal RNA
Source: RNAcentral
GAUGAACGCUGGCGGCGUGCCUAAUACAUGUAAGUCGAGCGAACGGACUAGAAGCUUGCUUCUCUGAUGUUAGCGGCGGACGGGUGAGUAACACGUGGAUAACCUACCUAUAAGACUGGGAUAACUUCGGGAAACCGUAGCUAAUACCGGAUAAUAUUUUGAACCGCAUGGUUCAAAAGUGAAAGACGGUCUUGCUGUCACUUAUAGAUGGAUCCGCGCUGCAUUAGCUAGUUGGUAAGGUAACGGCUUACCAAGGCAACGAUGCAUAGCCGACCUGAGAGGGUGAUCGGCCACACUGGAACUGAGACACGGUCCAGACUCCUACGGGAGGCAGCAGUAGGGAAUCUUCCGCAAUGGGCGAAAGCCUGACGGAGCAACGCCGCGUGAGUGAUGAAGGUCUUCGGAUCGUAAAACUCUGUUAUUAGGGAAGAACAUAUGUGUAAGUAACUGUGCACAUCUUGACGGUACCUAAUCAGAAAGCCACGGCUAACUACGUG